This is a long non-coding RNA of Phyllopteryx taeniolatus (common seadragon), 743 nucleotides long. RefSeq lists it as uncharacterized. The record is from RefSeq and is a predicted model, not a curated record. NCBI's taxonomy places the organism in Eukaryota, Metazoa, Chordata, Actinopteri, Syngnathiformes, Syngnathidae. The transcript is spliced from 4 exons.
AGGGAGGAAGAGGAGUGAUAGUGUAAGAUCACUGCAUAUAAAAUGUUCAAUUGUGUUUUGUCAAUCCAAACAAAGAAGCCUGUGUGACACGAUCGCUGGUUAAUGGUUGUGCUGAAAAUUUGGAUCUGUAGAGCACAAAAUGCAGUUGCAGGAAAAAAUCAUGCAGGAAGGAAGGCGGAAGCACAACCCUAACCCACAGCAGAGAAGGACAAGCUGACUGAUGAAAUCCAAAGUGGAUUGUAACCACCCCGUGCAAAAUCCUCUCGGACCCUCCACAUCCCGGUCACCAGCUCUUCCAGCUCCUUACCUUAGAUCUUAGAGCACAAGCCAUGGUCUGCAGAGAGCUACCACAGCAUCAGAGGAAUCUCAUUGUUCAAAGGUAUUAAUCAGGAGAACAGGAGAAAAGAAUUUCCAAGACAAUAAAUAUACCAUGGAACACAGUGAAGACAGUCAUCAUCAAACAGAGAAGAUUAGGGACAACAGUGACAUUACUAAGAACCAGACGUCCGGCAGAAAACUGAACUGUUCAAGGAGGCUGCCACGAGGCAAGAAUUUCUCUAUUGGUAGGCUGAGGACCCCACCCAAUCAAUUGAGAGGCGGGGUCGGGCCAAGGAGUCCACCUGAGAGCAGCUCGGUGGACGGGACACGUCCCACGCAGAGGGACCAAGGGCGGUCCACUGGCCCCACUGAGACGCCCAAAAACCAGCCAACCGGAGGAGGCAACAGCGACCCAAUGCCACACC